RNAcentral lists this ribosomal RNA (348 nucleotides) under uncultured bacterium. RNAcentral's name for it is "bacterial SSU rRNA". It matches the Rfam family "Bacterial small subunit ribosomal RNA", at positions 8 to 350 of the family's 1533-position model. The record is from RNAcentral.
AGAGUUUGAUCCUGGCUCAGGAUGAACGCUAGCUACAGGCUUAACACAUGCAAGUCGAGGGGAAACGACAUCGAAAGCUUGCUUUUGAUGGGCGUCGACCGGCGCACGGGUGAGUAACGCGUAUCCAACCUGCCCACCACUUGGGGAUAACCUUGCGAAAGUAAGACUAAUACCCAAUGACGUCUCUAGAAGACAUCUGAAGGAGAUUAAAGAUUUAUCGGUGAUGGAUGGGGAUGCGUCUGAUUAGCUUGUUGCGGGGUAACGCCACAAGGCGACGAUCAGUAGGGGUUCUGAGAGGAAGGUCCCCCANAUUGGAACUGAGACACGGUCCAAACUCUACGGGAGGCA